RNAcentral lists this non-coding RNA (31 nucleotides) under Homo sapiens (human). The record is from RNAcentral. Lineage: Eukaryota; Metazoa; Chordata; Mammalia; Primates; Hominidae. RNAcentral also lists the same sequence under 2 other names.
AAGCCAGGGAUUGUGGGUUCGGGUCCCAUCU